GUCGAGAAUCUUUCACAAUGGGGGCAACCCUGAUGGAGCGACGCCGCGUGGAGGAUAAGGUCUUCGGAUUGUAAACUCCUGUCAUGCGUGAACAAGGUUGCUUGGAUAAUACCUGAGCAAAUUGAUGGUAGCGCAAGAGGAAGAGACGGCUAACUCUGUGCCAGCAGCCGCGGUAAUACAGAGGUCUCAAGCGUUGUUCGGAAUCACUGGGCGUAAAGGGUGCGUAGGUGGCGUGGCAAGUCAGAUGUGAAAGCCCGGGGCUCAACCUCGGAACUGCAUCCGAUACUGCCAUGCUAGAGUACUGGAGGGGUGACUAGAAUUCUCGGUGUAGCAGUGAAAUGCGUAGAUAUCGAGAGGAAUACCAAAGGCGUAGGCAGGUCACUGGACAGUUACUGACACUGAGGCACGAAGGCCAGGGGAGCGAACGGGAUUAGAAACCCGGGUAGUCC
RNAcentral lists this ribosomal RNA (449 nucleotides) under uncultured bacterium. RNAcentral's name for it is "partial 16S ribosomal RNA". It matches the Rfam family "Bacterial small subunit ribosomal RNA", at positions 354 to 796 of the family's 1533-position model. The record is from RNAcentral.